This is a long non-coding RNA of Rosa chinensis, 437 nucleotides long. RefSeq lists it as uncharacterized. The record is from RefSeq and is a predicted model, not a curated record. The transcript is spliced from 5 exons. NCBI's taxonomy places the organism in Eukaryota, Viridiplantae, Streptophyta, Magnoliopsida, Rosales, Rosaceae.
CCUACGAUGAGAGAAAACAGAGGAAAAACUGCUUUGUCAAAAAAGAAAAACUGCCACACGCACGAUCUCAAAGAAAUUGGACGUUCUGGGAGUUUCAUCCCUAUCAGUUUAUCAAAAGAAGAGACGCAAUGCAGAAAGAGGCAACAAAGAAAAUCAAACCUAGAAGGAGCAAUAGAGGAAAAUCAAAUUUGGAUUUUAAGGGAUCUUGAACAUAUGAGGAAUUUCUGUAUAACGUCUCCAGAACUACAAUAAAAAGGACUGUUGAUAUCAUAAUCUUGGUGGAAGCUUUGAGGAAGGUGAGCAUGAAGGCACAGGAUGAGGCAGAAAUAGCAUGCAUGUUGUUACAAUUCCAUCGUAAGGAGGCUGCUGCAUAAUUGAAGUGACAUGAAGGACAUGAUCUUAGUACUGCAUGAAAUAUGAGAAUCUAGAAUCUCUGU